RNAcentral lists this transfer RNA (66 nucleotides) under human gut metagenome. It matches the Rfam family "tRNA". Rfam says of the family: Transfer RNA (tRNA) molecules are approximately 80 nucleotides in length. Their secondary structure includes four short double-helical elements and three loops (D, anti-codon, and T loops). RNAcentral also lists the same sequence under 1 other name. The record is from RNAcentral.
GAGUAUAAUUCAAUGGUAGAAUGUGAGCUUCCCAAGCUUAAUAUGCGGGUUCGAUUCCCGUUACUC